This is a long non-coding RNA of Hordeum vulgare subsp. vulgare (domesticated barley), 153 nucleotides long. RefSeq lists it as uncharacterized. NCBI's taxonomy places the organism in Eukaryota, Viridiplantae, Streptophyta, Magnoliopsida, Poales, Poaceae. The transcript has 3 exons. The record is from RefSeq and is a predicted model, not a curated record.
CCGAUCCCCGCCAUUGAAGAGAGAGAGAGAGAAAGAGAGAUGCUAUCUUUUAUUUUAGUUUUGUUUCUGUUUUCGAGGAGAGGGAAAUGAAAUGACUAAGGGAAUGUUUGAUUGAUUGAAUGAAUGAAUGGAUUGAAUAGUUUGUGAGUUAAA